UUACUGGUAGGUUAUUUAAACUGACAAAUUGUGGUUUUGUUGAUUACGCUUUUUUUCUUUGUAUCA
This 66-nucleotide transfer RNA is filed under the name Scalithrium magniphallum. Its description in RNAcentral is "tRNA-His". Lineage: Eukaryota; Metazoa; Platyhelminthes; Cestoda; Rhinebothriidea; Rhinebothriidae. The record is from RNAcentral.